GCCAGCAUGGUGUAGUGGUUUGAGCAUUGGACUAUGACUCUGGAGACCAGGGUUUGACUCCCUGCCCAGCCA
This 72-nucleotide transfer RNA is filed under the name Phrynosoma platyrhinos (Desert horned lizard). RNAcentral's name for it is "tRNA-OTHER". Lineage: Eukaryota; Metazoa; Chordata; Lepidosauria; Squamata; Phrynosomatidae. The record is from RNAcentral.